CCUCUCUCAGUUCGGAUCGAAGUCUGCAACCCGACUUCGUGAAGCUGGAUUCGCUAGUAAUCGCGCAUCAGCCACGGCGCGGUGAAUACGUUCCCGGGCCUUGUACACACCGCCCGUCAAGCCAUGGGAGCCGGGGGUACCUGAAGUACGUAACCGCAAGGAUCGUCCUAGGGUAAAACUGGUGACUGGGGCUAAGUCGUAACAAGGUAGCCGUACCGGAAGGUGCGGCUGGAACACCUCCUUUCUGGAGC
Molecule: ribosomal RNA, 251 nt
Filed under: Bacteroides fragilis
Lineage: Bacteria; Pseudomonadati; Bacteroidota; Bacteroidia; Bacteroidales; Bacteroidaceae
Description: partial 16S ribosomal RNA
Rfam family: Bacterial small subunit ribosomal RNA
Source: RNAcentral